This is an RNA transcript of Piliocolobus tephrosceles (Ugandan red Colobus), 3867 nucleotides long. It is a transcript of the gene named translation initiation factor IF-2-like, with no coding region annotated. Lineage: Eukaryota; Metazoa; Chordata; Mammalia; Primates; Cercopithecidae. The record is from RefSeq and is a predicted model, not a curated record. The transcript has a single exon.
GGCUCCACGGCGCGGCCCGGGCCGGGGCUCGGCGGCCCUGCAGAGAGGGCCCAGGUGCCGGCGCCGGGCUCCCUCCAGCCCUCGUGGCGGUCGGUGCGCUGUGCGGGGCGGAGAGGGGUCCGCGGUGGGCUUCGGGGCGCGGGCCGAAGGGAGCGAGCCCGGCCCGCGGCUUCAGCGCUCCCCGGCCGGCGCGGAACGGGUGAGGCUGGGCGUCCGCGCGCGUUUCGAGAAAAGGAAAGACAAAAAGUUUUGGCGGCCAGGGGCUUCCCGGGCGUUUGUCUCGAAACUCUUUUCGCCGUCUCUUGGCUGAAAUGUGCCGAGCCCGGUGCGGCCCUGUCGUCCCACUUCCUGCUGCGGUUUCCCCCGCGAGCGGGGCUCGGCUCAUGUGUUGUGACAGCUGCCGGCGGCCGCCCCCAGCCCCUGACAUCCCGCGGGUUUCCGAACCGCGGCGCCGCCGGGCGCAGACUCCGGGUCCGGGGCGCUCGGCCCUUUCCUCCGCGGCGCCGUUUCCUGCAGGGGCUGCGCGGCUGCGAAGAACUUGCUCAAUGCGCUGUGAAGGCGCCACGGUUCCUCUUUCGGCCGCAGGCUGCGCCGAUGGUCCCGGGCGCCCGGCUUCGCGCCCCUGCCCCUUCCUUCUCUUCCCUUCUCUCUUUUCCUCUCCCGUCUCUCCGCCCACCCGCCGCAGCCCCGCAGGAGAGGGGUCGCUUCCCUGGGUCCUCUCCUGUCCCUUGUGUGUCCCCUUCUUGUUCCUCGGUCUGCAGAAGAGACGGGGCGGCGGGUGGGGAGCGCCGGGGGAAGAGGGCAAGAGCGCGAGCAGAGAUGCCCGGCUUCGCGCUCGGCCGGAGCUGCGGGGCCACCCGGGCCCGCGCUCAGUCGCUCCGCGGUGUCUAGGGGUCGCCUGGGCUGGGGUCGCGUCAUCCUCCGCCCAUCGCCUGCGUGGUGGGGCUUGCGCGAUGCAGGACCCCCGAGGGCACAGGGAGUCCCGAGGCGCUGCGGGUCCAGUGUCCCUUUGUUUGCGGAGUCUUGGGUCAGUAAGGAGGGCUCCGCGGGCCCCAGGGGAGGACAACAGGUGCCUCUCGCGCCACCCGGGCCCCACUGGUGGGAGCUCACACGCACGGCGGCGUCUCUGCCCACAGGCAACGCUAGAGCACAGGAGGGGUGGGAGAUGUGGCUCGAGGACUUCACCCCACGGCAGAACUCAGAGCCCAGUCCAGGCCGUAGGGGCCCGCCUGGGGCCUAGAACUUGGUGUGGCAUAGGUAGAAAGGGCCUCCGACAAUCUGCCUUUACAGUUGGGAGACGUCACCUGGCACCUCUGAGCCUCUGUCCCGUAGGUGGAAUGGGAACCCCAUCUGAGGGGCUCUCACUGUCACCACCAAAUAUGGUCCAGACUCAGUGGGGAGGGACAGCCCCAUCCUGGAAUUGGGGCUUUUAGGACAUCCCAGAGCCUGGUAAGAGCGACAGGGAGAGUGGGGCUUGGAAGUUGGCAGCCUCACAUUCAGUGUCCCCCGCACCUCCUUCCCCUUCUGUACCCUCUGGUGGCUCCUCUUGUGGCCUCAGCUGCUCCCAGACCCUGUCUCUCUCGCCCUCCCCCAAGCUGAGGUGCUGAGGCCGGGUUGUGGCUUGAGCUGCACCUGUGCCCUGGUAGGGAGUGGGGGUCCCAGGCCCAUCGCGUUUCUCCUCAUUGCUGGCUCCAGCUCAGCCCCUGGCAGGCCCCCCGUCCCCAGACUUCUGGAACAAGCUCCGCGGAGACUCGGCCUGGCCGCCGCUCCCGGGCUGCCAAGUGGACCGGCCGUUUCGCCGCUUCAAAGGCUGUCUUUGUUUCGCUCCAGCUCAAGCUCAGAGAAACUUAAGCCAACAACCUCAGCCGAGGGGGCGGGGCGGCGUCUGCUGGUUGUUAUUGAGGCUGCUGUUACCAUUAUUGUGGUAAUUGACGCACUGUUCCCAGUCGGUGACUUUUCAUGAAAGGAAGUGUCACUUCCUUCCCAUCACACCCAGGGUGAAUGGGGCGGGCAGCAGAACGAUGGGGAGGGAGGGAGAGAAGGAAAGGGGUGUGCGCCUCCAGCAGACCCUUAAGCUUGAGAGCUGUGUGGCCUUGUACUAGUCAUUGCCCCUCUCUGGGCACCAGGGGUCUGUAAGUCCUGCACCCAGGAGGCUGAUGUUUCCGGAGCAGCUGCUGGGCAGCAAGGUGCCUUGGGGAGGGAGCAGGACAAGCAGGCCUCCUGUCUUCUCACUGAGCCUGGCUGUGGUUUGUGGGGGAAGCCUCCUUUCUCUUCUCGCUUUCUUCCGCUGAGAACAUUGGGCACAUUGAGUCUAGCACGCCCAUCUUGUGGAUGGGAAAGGGAGAUACAGAAGCAGUGACCAACUUGGUAAGAGGUGCAGCCAUGCGGUGCUAGAGCCCCGUGCCCCAUCUGUCCUCUUGGCCCACUCUCAUCUCCUUCCAGCUUGAUGUCUGGCAGGGCAGGGGGCCCGCUGACUUCCCCACAUCCACCCACUGCUCGGCCCUAUAGCUACCUUCUAGUCCUCGCUAAGCCCCAUGAGACAUCUUAAGUUUGUCUUCAGUGACUCUCGACCACCGCCGCAUUGCCUUCACCUUCCUGCCUUUGCGUACCCCAACUUCACCAGGUUGGCUGGGCCCUGGCCAGAGCUGGCCCCCACUCUGUCAGGUAACAGGGAGCAGUUUUUUUUAAAAGGAAUCUCAGUAGGUAUCAACAGGUCUUUCCUCCUUCCUCAAGAUUAUGGAGAUAACACCCCUUAUUCAAAGACGGUGGGGCCUCCGGCCCCUCCCCCACCCAGGCCAGGAAGUUGAUUCACAGGGUGUGGGGGCCGUGCCCCCCCACACCCCCACUGCCCAGCUCUCUGACCAGCCCCCUCCCAUCCCUGAGCCUGGAUGCCUUAGCAGUCAACACAGACCUGCUCUUGCUAGCAGAGUGACCGGAGCAAUAUGCUGGGAAACUGCACAUCUACUUGGGGAAAGGGGAUGAGCUUGCACCCUCUGAGCACAGAUAAGGAACUUGAGGUCUCCCUGCUCCUAUUACAAAGAAAAAAAUCUGUAGCUGUCAGGGAUCAGCGUCUCUCAGGAGUCAGACUACCCUGGUUCUGAAUCCCAGCUCUGCCAUGGAUAAGCUGCGGGGCCCCAGGCAAGUUAGUGAACCUCUCUGAGCCUCAGGCAUUCUAUCUGUUAUAUCUGGAUGGCUGGGAAGAUUCAACAAAGCCGCGUUGCGUGAGAUGCCCAGCCCACGCCAGCCAGGGCACUGAUUUCAGUCGGUGGAGCAUAUAACUUGAGAACAAGUAGAUCUGUGGAAGCAUCCUCUACUGGAGGGAGUGACAGAUUAACCUCUUCAGUGCUGGAGUGUUAGGAUCUGGGAGUGGAGCUUGACUCAGACAGGAGCCAUGGAGUUGGAAAGAAAUCAGACUCAUAGCACAGGAAGAGGCUCAGGCAAUCCUCCUGCUGAGCACCCUGCUGCACCCUCUCUCUGCCUAGUGAGGGACGGGGUCACUAUGAGCCCAGGCUCGUCUUCUGGUGCAGCCACCUAGCCUGCCUUGGCCCUCUUCCCAGCAAUGAAAUGAGGAAAUUGAAGGGAGGCUUGUGGAGUGACCUACCGUUGUCAGGGUUUUUCUAACACCAUUUUCUAGCUGCACAAAACUCAAGGAACAAACUAGGAAUAAACCUCCCCAAGAAAGCACAGGGGCUUUUUAAGAAGGAACUUCUGAGGAAUGCAGAGGGAAACCUGAAUUAUGGAGACACAUGGUCCUGAAAAGAAAGAUGCAGUACUGGCCGGGCGCGGUGGCUCAACCCUGUAAUCCCAGCACUUUGGGAGGCCGAGACGGGCAGAUCACGAGGUCAGGAGAUCGAGACCAUCCUGGCU